UACGGGGGGGGCAAGCGUUGUUCGGAAUUACUGGGCGUAAAGGGCUCGUAGGUGGCCAACUAAGUCAGACGUGAAAUCCCUCGGCUUAACCGGGGAACUGCGUCUGAUACUGGAUGGCUUGAGAUUGGGAGAGGGAUGCGGAAUUCCAGGUGUAGCGGUGAAAUGCGUAGAUAUCGUAAGGAAGACCAGUGGCGAAGGCGAGUUCCUGGACAGUUGCUGACACUGAGGCACGAAGGCUAGGGGAGCAAACGGG
Molecule: ribosomal RNA, 253 nt
Filed under: uncultured bacterium
Lineage: Bacteria
Description: partial 16S ribosomal RNA
Rfam family: Bacterial small subunit ribosomal RNA
Source: RNAcentral